UCCAUUGUUGCAAGUAUUAUUAUAACAUACGUGCAUGAUAAAUCAAGUGGGGGAGUCACUAUGGGUGGUGGGUCCUGUUAAUCUUAAAUAUAAAAAAAAAUAAUUUUAUUUGUUCCAAAAAGAAUUAAAUUCAUUUGCAAUGCAGAAAAAUAAAUAAGUUUUUGUAACACUGUCCCAGUUUGCCUUCCGCUUUCUAUGUUAUAUCUGGCUGUAUGUGCUCUUUAAUAACAAAGUUUUUUCUUAGCAGCUUCAAAACCUUGUCAUGAGUGAUCACAGAGAAAAAAUACUUAAACUCUAAAAGGUUUGUUAAAGAACAAGCUAUUAUGUUUACGUUGUAAACAAGCCGCAUUCCCAAUCCAAGACCCCGUGUUGUUACAAGUGUAUAUCAUGUUGCUUCCAAGGGUUGGAGAAUAUCUGUCGUUACAAGUAUGAUAAUAACAUACAUGCGUGAUAAAUCAAGUGGGUGAGUAACUAUAAGAGGUGGGUCCUGUUAAUCUUAAAUAUUUAUGCCCCCCUUCAAAGAAGAGGGGGUAUAUUGUUUUGCUCAUGUCGGUAGGUCGGUCUGUCCGUCCACCAGAUGGUUUCCGGAUGAUAACUCAAGGGAUCAUGAAACUUCAUAGGUACAUUGAUCAUGACUGGCAGAUGACCCCUAUUGAUUUUCAGGUCACUAGGUCAAAGGUCAAGGUCACAGUAACAAAAACCGUAUUCACACAAUGGCUGCCACUACAACUGACAGCCCAUAUGGAGGGCAUGCAUGUUUUGUAAACAGCCCUUGUUUUAUUUUUGUAUUUAUUUGUUCCGGAUUUCCCCAUUUCGUUACAUGUGUAAAUCAUGUAGCUUCCAAGGGUAGAUGAAAAUCCAUUGUUGCAAGUAUGGUUAAAACAUUCUUGCAUGAUAAAUCAAGUGGGGGAGUCACUAUGGGAGGUGGGUCCUGUUAAUCUUAAAUAUUAAAAAAAAUAAUUUUUUAUUUGUUCCAAAAAGAAUUAAAUUCAUUUUCAAUGCAGAAAAAUAAAUAAGUUUUUGUAACACUGUCCCGGUUUGCCUUCCGCUUUCUAUGUUAUAUCUGGCUGUAUGUGCUCUUUAAUAACAAAGUUUUUUCUUAGGAGCUUCAAAACCUUGUCAUGAGUGAUCCCAGAGAAAAAAAUACUUAAACUCUUAUAAGAUUUGUUAAAGAACAAGCUAUUAUGUUUACGUUGUAAACAAGCCACAUUCCCGAUCCAUUACCCAGUGUUGUUACAAGUGUAUUUCAUGUUGCUUCCCAGGGUAGGAGAAAAUCCGUCGUAACAAGUAUGAUAAUAACAUACAUGCGUGAUAAAUCAAGUGGGCGAGUCACUAUAAGAGGUGGGUCCUGUUAAUCCUAAAUAUUUAUGCCCCCCUUCAAAGAAGAGGGGGUAUAUUGUUUUGCUCAUGUCUGUAGGUCGGUCUGUCCGUCCACCAGAUGGUUUCCGGAUGAUAACUCAAGGGAUCAUGAAACUUCAUAGGUACAUUGAUCAUGACUGGCAGAAGACCCCUAUUGAUUUUCAGGUCACUAGGUCAAAGGUCAAGGUCACAGUAACAAAAACCGUGUUCACACAAUGGCUGCCACUACAACUGACAGCCCAUAUGGAGGGCAUGCAUGUUUUACAAACAGCCCUUGUUUUAUUUUUGUAUUCAUUCGUUCCAGAUUUCCCCAUUUCGUAACAUGUGUAAAUCAUGUAGCUUCCAAGGGUAGAUGAAAAUCCAUUGUUGCAAGUAUGGUUAUAACAUACGUGCAUGAUAAAUCAAGUGGGGGAGUCACUAUGGGAGGUGGGUCCUGUUAAUCUUAAACAUUAAAAAAAAAUAAAAUAAUUUGUUCCAAAAAGAAUUAAAUUCAUUUGCAAUGCAGAAAAAUAAAUAAGUUUUUAUAACACUGUCUUGGUUUGCCUUCCGCUUUCUAUGUUAUAUCUGGCUGUAUGUGCUCUUUAAUAACAAAUUGUUUUCUUAGCAGCUUCAAAACCUUGUUAUUAGUGAUCACAGAGAAAAAAAUACUUAAACUCUUAUAAGAUUUGUUAAAGAACAAUCUAUUAUGUUAACGUUGUAAACAAGCCGCAUUUCCUAUCCAUUACCCCGUGUUGUCACAAGUGUAAAUCAUGUUGCUUCUCAGGGUAGGAGAAAAUCCGUCGUCACAAGUAUGAUUAUUAUGCCCCCCUUCGAAGAAGAGGGGGUAUAUUGCUUUGCUCAUGUCGGUCGGUCUGUCGGUCCGUCCACCAGGUGGUUGUCAGACGAUAACUCAAGAACGCUUGGGCCUAGGAUCAUGAAACUUCAUAGGUACAUUGAUCAUGACUCGCAGAUGACCCCUAUUGAUUUUGAGGUCAAUAGGUCAAAGGUCAAGGUCACGGUGACCCGAAAUAGUAAAAUGGUUUUUUAAUGAUAACUCAAGAACGCAUAUGCCUAGGAUCAUGAAACUUCAUGGGUAGAUUGAUCAUGACUUGCAGAUGACCCCUAUUGAUUUUGAGGUCACUAGGUCAAAGGUCAAGGUCACGGUGACCCGAAAUAGUAAAAUGGUUUCCGGAUGAUAAUUUAAGAAUGCAUACGCCUAGGAUCAUGAAACUUCAUGGGUAGAUUGAUCAUGACUCGCAGAUGACCCCUAUUGAUUUUGAGGUCACUAGGUCAAAGGUCAAGGUCACGGUGACCCGAAAUAGUAAAAUGGUUUUCGGAUGAUAACUCAAGAACGCAUAUGCCAAGGAUCAUGAAACUUCACAGGUAGAUUGAUCAUGACUCGCAGAUGACCCCUAUUGAUUUUUAGGUCACAAGGUCAAAGGUCAAGGUCACGGUGACCCGAAAUAGUAAAAUGAUUUUCGGAUGAUAACUCAAGAACACUUUUGCGUAGGAUCAUGAGACUUCAUAGGUACAUUGAUCGGACUCACAGAUGACCCAUAUUGAUUUUCAGGUCACUAGGUCAAAGGUCAAGGUCACAGUGACAAAAAACGUUUUCACACAAUGGCUGCCACUACAACGGACAGCCCAUAUGGGGUCAUGCAUGUUUUACAAACAGCCCUUGUAACAUAUGUGCGUGAUAAAUCAAGUGGUUGAGUCACUAUAAGACGUGAGUCCCGUUAAUCCUAAAUAUUUAUGCCCUCCUUCAAAAAAGAGCGGGUAUAUUGUUUUGCUCAUGUCGGUAGGUCGGUGAGUCCGUCCACCAGAUGGUUUCGGGAUGAUAACUCAAGGGAUCAUGAAACUUCAUAAGUACAUUGAUCAUGACUGGCAAAUGACCCCUAUUGAUUUUCAGGUAACUAGGUCAAAGGUCAAGGUCACAGUGACUCUAAAUAGUAAAAUGGUUUCCCAAUGAUUACUUAAGAACGCUUAGGCCUAGGAUCAUGAAACUUCAUAGGUAGAUUGAUCAUGACUGGCUGAUGACCUCUAUUGAUUUUCAGGUCACUAGGUCAAAGGUCAAGGUCACAUUGACUCGAAAUAGUAAACUGGUUUCCGGAUGAUAACUCAAGAAUGCUUACACCUAGGAUCAUGAAACUUCAUAGGUACAUUGAUCAUUACUGGCUGAUGACCCCUUUUGAUUUUCAGAUCACUAAGUCAAAGGUCAAGGUCACAGUGACUGGAAACAGUAAAAUGGUUUCCGGAUGAUAACUCAAGAAUGCUUACGCCUAGGAUCAUGAAUCUUCAUAGGUACAUUGAUCACGACUGGCAGAUGACCCCUAUUGAUUUUCAGGUCACUAUGUCAAAGGUCAAGGUCACAGUAACAAAAACCGUAUUCACACAAUGGCUGCCACUACAACUGACAGCCCAUAUGGGGGACAUGCAUGUUUUACAAACAGCCCUUGUUUUAUUUUUGUAUUCAUUUGUUCCAGAUUUCCCCAUUUCAUUACAUGUGUAAAUCAUGUAGCUUCCAAGAGUAAAUGGAAAUCCAUUGUUGCAAGUAUGGUUAUAACAUACGUGCAUGAUAAAUCAAGUGGGGGAGUCACUAUGGGAGGUGGGUCCUGUUAAUCUUAAAUAUUUAAAAAAAAAAAUUGUAUUUGUUCCAAAAAGAUUUAAAUUCAUUUGCAAUGCAGAAAAAUAAAUAAGUUUUUGUAACACCGUUCCGGUUUGCCUUCCGCUUUUUAUGUUAUAUUUGGCUGUAUGUGCUCUUUAAUAACAAAGUUUUUUCUUAGGAGCUUCAAAACCUUGUCAUGAGUGAUCACAGAGAAAAAAAUACUUAAACUCUUAUAAGAUUUGUUAAAGAACAAGCUAUUAUGUUAACGUUAUAAACAAACUGCAUUCCCAAUCCAAGACCCCGUGUUGUCACAAGUGUAUAUCAUGUAGCUUCCAAGGGUUGGAGAAAAUCCGUUGUUUCACUUAUGAUGAUAACAUACGUGCGUAAUAAAUAAAGAGGGUGAGUCACUAUAAGAGGUGGGUCCUGUUAAUCCUAAAUAUUUAUGCCCCCCUUCGAAGAAGAGGGGGUAUAUUGUUUUGCUCAUGUCGGUAGGUCUGUCUGUCCGUCCACUAGAUGGUUUGUGGAUGAUAACUCAAGGGAUCAUGAAACUUCAUAGGUAUAUUGAUCAUGACUGGCAGAUGACCCCUAUUGAUUUUCAGGUCACUAGGUCAAAGGUCACAGUGACUCGAAAUAGUAAAAUGGUCUCCGGAUGAUAAGUCAAGAACGCUUAGGCCUAGGAUCAUGAAACUUCAUAGGUAGAUUGAUCAUGACUGGCAGAUGACCUCUAUUGAUUUUCAGGUCACUAGGUCAAAGGUUAAGAUCACAGUGACUUGAAAUAGUAAAAUGGUUUCCGGAUAAUAACUCAAGAAUGCUUAGGCCUAGGAUCAUGAAACUUCAUAGGUAGAUUGAUCAUGACUGGCAGAUUACCCUAUUGAUUUUCAGGUCACUAGGUCAAAGGUCAAGGUCACAGUGACUCGAAAAAGUAAACUGGUUUCCGGAUGAUAACUCAAGAAUGCUUACGCCUAGGAUCAUGAAACUUCAUAAGUACAUUGAUCAUUACUGGCAGAUGACCCCUUUUGAUUUUCAGAUCACCAAGUCAAAGGUCAAGGUCACAGUGACUCGAAACAGUAAAAUGGUUUCCGGAUGAUUACUCAAGAAUGCUUAUGCCUAGGAUCAUGAAACUUCAUAGGUAUAUUGAUCAUGACUGGCAGAUGACCCCUAUUGAUUUUCAGGUCACUAGGUCAAAGGUCAAAGCCACAGUAACAAAAAACGUAUUCACACAAUGGCUGCCACUACAACUUACAGCCCAUAUGGGGGACAUGCAUGUUUUACCAACAGCCCUUGUUUUAUUUUUGUAUUCAUUUGUUCCAGAUUUCCUCAUUUCGUUACAUGUGUAAAUCAUGUAGCUUCCAAGGGUAGAUGAAAAUCCAUUGUUGCAAGUAUGGUUAUAACAUUCUUGUGUGAUAAAUCAAGUGGGGGAGUCACUAUGGGAGGUGGGUCCUGUUAAUCUAAAAUAUAUAAAAAAAAAAAAAAUAAUUUGUUCCAAAAACAAUUAAAUUCAUUUGCAAUGCAGAAAAAUAAAUAAGUUGUUGUAACACUGUCCCGGUUUUCCUUCCGCUUUCUAUGUUAUAUCUGGCUGUAUGUGCUCUUUAAUAACAAAGUUUUUUCUUAGGAGCUUCAAAACCUUGUCAUGAGUGAUCACAGAGAAAAAAAUACUUAAACUCUUAUAAGAUUUGUUAAAGAACAAGCUAUUAUGUUUGCGUUGUAAACAAGCCGCAUUCCCAAUCCAUUACCCAGUGUUGUUACAAGUGUAUUUCAUGUUGCUUCCUAGGGUAGGAGAAAAUCCGUCGUAACAAGUAUGAUAAUAACAUACAUGCGUGAUAAAUCAAGUGGGUGAGUCACUAUUAGAGGUGGGUCCUGUUAAUCCUAAAUAUUUAUGCCCCCCUUCAAAGAAGAGGGGGUAUAUUGUUUUGCUCAUGUAGGUAGGUCGGUCCGUCCGUCCACCAGAUGGUUUCCGGAUGAUAACUCAAGGGAUCAUGAAACUUCAUAGGUACAUUGAUCAUGACUGGCAGAUGACCCCUAUUGAUUUUCAGGUCACUAGGUCAAAGGUCAGAGUGACUCGAAAUAGUAAAAUGGUUUCCCAAUGAUAACUUAAGAACGCUUAGGCCUAGGAUCAUGAAACUUCAUAGGUAGAUUGAUCAUGACUGGCAUUUGACCUCUAUUGAUUUUCAGAUCACUAGGUCAAAGGUAAAGGUCACAAUGACUUGAAAUAGUAAAAUGGUUGUCAGAUGAUAACUCAAGAAUGCUUAGGCCUAGGAUCAUGAAACUUCACAGAUGACCCUAUUGAUUUUCAGGUAAUUAGGUCAAAGGUCAAGGUCACAGUGACACAAAAUAGUAAACUGGUUUCCGGAUGAUAACUCAAGAAUGCUGACGCCUAGGAUCAUGAAACUUCAUAGGUACAUUGAUCAUUACUGGCAGAUGACCCCUUUUGAUUUUCAGAUCACUAAGUCAAAGGUCAAGGUCUUAGUGACUGGAAACAGUAAAAUGGUGUCCGAAUGAUAACUCAAGAAUGCUUACGCCUAGGAUCAUGAAACUUCAUAAGUACAUUGAUCAUGACUGGCAGAUGAUUUCUAUUGAUUUUCAGGUCACUAGGACAAAGGUCAAGGUCACAGUAACAAAAACCGUAUUCACACAAUGGCUGCCACUACAACUGACAGCCCAUAUGGGGGGCAUGCAUGUUUUACAAACAGCCCUUGUUUUAUUUUUGUAUUCAUUUGUUCCAACUUUCCCCAUUUCGUUACAUGUGUAAAUCAUGUAGCUACCAAGGGUAGAUGAAAAUCCAUUGUUGCAAGUAUGGUUAUAACAUAAGUGCAUGAUAAAUCAAGUGGGGCAGUCACUAUGAGAGGUGGGUCCUGUUAAUCUUAAAUAAAAAAAAAAAAAAUUCAAUUUGUUCCAAAAAGAAUUAAAUUCAUUUGCAAUUCAGAAAAAUAAAUAAGUUUUUGUAACACUGUCCCAAUUUGCCUUCCGCUUUCUAUGUUAUAUCUGGCUGUAUGUGCUCUUUAAUAACAAAGUUUUUUCUUAGCAGCUUCAAAACCUUGUCAUGAGUGAUCACAGAGAAAAAAAUACUUAAACUCUAAAAGGUUUGUUAAAGAACAAGCUAUUAUGUUUACGUUGUAAACAAGCCGCAUUCCCAAUCCAAGACCCCGUGUUGUUACAAGUGUAUAUCAUGUAGCUUCUCAGGGUAGGAGAAAAUCCGUCGUAACAAGUAUGAUAAUAACAUACGUGCGUGAUAAUGUUAGGACCCAGUCCGCGCGUUUACAGUAAUAUGAUGUGGAUUUCGUUAUGUGUUUUCAAUAAAACCAAAACCGAAGAGCCUUUCCAUGUAUUUUUAUUCUCCAGCAAGAAAUGCAUCUUAAAGAAAUGUUAAUGUUGUAAUAUAAAAUUCAAAUGUGUACUAUAUAUGUAUUCAAUAUUUUACUCUAUGUUUCAAUAGUUUUAUUUUACUAGAUUUAACAAAGUUCGCUUACUGAAAUUGUAAAUUAAUGUUGAAUGGGAGAUGUUACCCAAAUGUUCGUUAGUUCAGUUAUGAGAAAAUCUCAGCUUUAUAUACUACUGAGAAGGCACACUGCGCCUUGUGCCGGGCACAUCGGCACACUGCGCCAGGCACAUGGCUUAAUGCGCCCGACACACGACACAGUGCGCUUACCACAACAAAUUUUGUGCCGGAUGCAGCUAUGCCUUAACAGGUGCUCAUAGAAACUUUAAGAAAGUUGCCAAACAUUCAAGUUCUACAAUACAAUACAAUCAUAAAUAACAACAAUAGCCUAAGAUAUUUCAAUCACCUCAAAAGAGCGUUUUGUGCCGCUACAAUUUGAAAACAUUUCCUUUAAGACUAUUUAAAAUCAAUGGUGAACGCUUGUAGAAUAACCUGCAACCUGGCAACGACAAUCGGGUACAGUAAAAAUCAAGAUGGCUGCCAGUUCAUCCACAACAACAUGUGUUAGAGCUUUAAAUGGAUAAAUCUUUGGAUUAAGACAGUUUUAAGUGGUAACAUUUACCAAAAAUAUGAACUAGCAUUUUAAAUUAAUAGGCAUAGGUACUUCUUUAAUUUACUGACGGAGAAAGUUCUGCUUUAAGAAAAAAAUGUCUGCCUUGCCAACAGGACGUCAGACUCGUAAUUUUAAACAAUGGAAUAAACACCCAAAAGUUAUUCUAGCCUGUAUAUGUAACUCUAUUGACUGGCCGUUAAGUAUCUAAUUGAUCAGCAUUAUUAUUAUGUGGCCAGGCUAGACUAGACAACAGUUUUGGAGGAGAACAGUCAAUUAUACAGCUGGAAAUUAAGGUAAGACUAUAAACAAUUCAUAAAAAUAGCUUACAAUAAAUAAGAUUGAUUGACACUGGGGACCAACAUCACCCCCCUGUCUUUUAUGGCAAACUCCUGUUGCCAUAUAAACAACAAAUGUUACGGUAUUUUAUAAAAACACUUGUAGAACACUUACAGUGUGAGCGCUUAAAUGAGCAUAUACGGUAUCCGUUUUCUACAACAAAAUGUAAUAAGACAUAAAAAAUAAGUGUAUCAUAUUAGAGCAAUCAUUCAAAACAUCAAAAGUGUGAACACUUAACAUGGCACAUCCUAAUUGAAAGCAACAAUUUGGACAUAAAAGGCGCGAACACUUAACGGUGCAUAUACAUUGUACUGUUAUAAGAAGAACAAUCUGAACAUUAAAAACUUAACGAGACAUAUACUCUUUUUAGAGGAGCAAUUUGAACACUUAAAGUCUGAACACUUAACAGGGCAUACCCUAUUACUAGCGAAAUAAUAUGAACAUUCAACAAGAGAACCAAAACAAAACUGCCCACUCUUUUUUAGGCGCUUUGCCCCCAUUUUAUCCGGUUCAUGGUCCUUUUGACGUCGCUGGUCCCCAACCUUCUGCACUGUUACCUCAAGGUUUUUUAUUGCCCUACUGUUCCACUCGACGGCUGAUAUCAAUUUGCCGAUGGAGCUUUCGAUCGUCUUCUCCAGCUGGAAUAGAGCGGUCGCAACUAAACUGGGCUCCUGUGUAGCUUCCUGUUCCGUCUGCGUGCUUGCUGCCUUCGACACCACUCGCUUUGGCUCGUCCAUCACUGGUGUGUUUAACCUUGAACUAAAGCCUGGAGCUAAUGCGCACACCUUAUGUUGACUGAAGUCAUUUUGUCCGCCUUGGGCUGGGGUCGCCUGAGGAACUCCAAGAUUGGCACUGGUAAUCACUGGUGUGGGUAGAUAGGUUGUAAACCCUGACCCUACACUGACACUGACAUUGGCACUGGAAAUCACUGGUGCGGGUAGAUAGAUUGGAAACUCCGACCCUACACUGACUGUUGCGGGACUUUGAUAGAAGUCAUCAAACACAUCGAAAUUGUCCAAAUCCUGCUCAAAGGGAACAGUUUUGGAGGUCUCAAAUCUGUUGAACUCUGGACUUGUCGGUGUGUACGGCAAAGCUGUCCCGGUAGACAUGCCGGGUCCAUUAAACAGGUUGGCAAAGACUUGCGGUGUCAUCUUCACAUUAACUAGUUCGCCUUGGCCUUGGUAGAUAGUCUCGUGCGCAGCAAGCUCGUAAUCCACUCCCUCUUGGACCUCCUUGGGGUGUGUAUUCUCGAUUAGGUACCUACUUUGGUCUCCACCUCCCUGCAUUGCUGCCAACACUGCAUGCUUCUCAUAGUCCGUCACAUGCUUAUUCAAAGCUUCUCUCGAUGAGCACCUAAACAAGCACAGAGAGCAAUAGAACGGUGCUUGAUUUAAAGGGAAAUGGUGCUUUUUGACGUGGUCGGUCAUCCUGUACCUCUCAUUCACAAAACUCGUCCUGUUUCUCUUACAAUGAAUGCACGAGAAAAGAGGCCGCUUUCUCAAUCUCUGCCCAUACUCCAUCAUCUGCAAAUACACAAUCAUUGAUUUCGGUCUUAAUUUAAAGUCCGUACUCUCAAAAGUCACUUGAAAACUUAAUUUAUGUUUGUUAAUGUGCAUUUCUUGCUGGGAAUUUUGUGUAACACUAUGAUUUGCAUUUAAGCUGUCGUGUCACUAUUUCGGUUUGUUUGUGUGUGUUUUUUUUAAAUUACACCCGCGAUUCGCGUACAGUCUUUAAUAAGAUUGAUGUUUUUUUCACUUUAAAUUCGCGUCUCACAAUCGCACCUAACUCACACAAAAGUAUUUAGAUAACAAAGUCUUUCAACAAGUUGAGUCACACACAAAAAUAAAUAAAAAUCAAGACACGUAAUAGGACAGAUUACUAUAAGUUCUUCCGUGCUCCAUCAAUCCAUUUCAGAAGGUUAGUACCCGUAUAUGGCUUCAACUUGUUGUGAUGAACUACUUUCUCCGGGCCUUUUUUCUCAACUGGAUCACAAAGUUAAUCUCAGAUAUCUUUACCUUCACCAACUUUACCAAAAACGGACCAUCAAAGGCUUUCUGUACUUUUGCACUUAUACCGACUCUUCGCGUUUCAUGUAACAGCCAAACCAUGUCACCAACUUCGUACUUGUGGAAGGAGAGGCGCGCAUCGUACACCUCUUUACUGCGCUUUGCAUUUGCCUCCAAAUGCCUUCUUGCAACCUCAUGUGCCCUCCGCAUGCGCCCUCUAAUUUGAACUACAAAAUCAGAUGGGUUUCCAGUCUCGUUUGCAACCUUUAUGUGACCAAACAUAACGUCCGCCGGUAACAGACCUCUCGGCCAAGCACGACCAUGUUUGGCGAUAACCUUGUUGACUUACAAGGGGUCGCUCUGUAUGCUCCCGCCAGACAACCCAGGUACAGAUCCCAAUCUUUCUCCUCGUCAGUGAGAUAUGCUCUGACCAUCUUUAUGAGGGACCGGUUGAAUCUUUAGACCUGACCGUUUCCCCGAGGAUUGCGAGGACUAAUGCAAGUCUUUUUUGUAAUUUCGUCGCUAGACGUAAACUUGUACCUGUCUGAUGUAAGUUUCAUUAUUUGGUUUUGCAUAUAAUUCAUUAAUAUUUUCACAUCUUCCUCUUCAGGUUACUCUUUUGGUUUUCGUGUGUCCGUGGGAACUAUAACUGCUUGAUAUUCCAUUUUUCGAAUAAAAUGGGUCAAUUGUGUGUCAGCUCCUUUGGCGCCUGUUGUUUGAACAAACUGGAUAUAUAGUCAUCUCUCUGGUUGUGACAGGGACCACUGCUAUGUGUGUUUCUGUUUCAUGCAUUUCCAGGACACCCCGGGAAUGCUGUUCCACAAUGUGAUUGUAGCAUUUCAUUAUUGUCGGAAACUCUGUCACCAUACACCAGACAGGUAUAACUUGCUGGUCAGAAUCAAGCUUUUGCCUUGUGCUGCCAUGGUCGGUGUCAGUGAAUGUGUGGUUCUUCUUGCAAUACUAAGCAUUCCAUUAUUGUUGUUGAGAUGCCCACCUGGGUCAUUUCUGUUGAGCCCUAUCAAGGAGAUCUCCACCGAGGCUAAAAUGGCCCUUGAGAUGCCCACCUGGGUCAUUUCUGUUGAGCCCUAUCAAGUAGAUCUCCACUGUUCUCUUCAGCAAUGCUUUACAGUGAUACCUCACACUUGUCUGGUCCAUGAACCCUUUAUCACUUUGAUAGGUAUUUAAUCCUUUACUCCUUAGAUAUGUAUUUUGACACAUUUGUAGUCCCUUCAAAGUUAAAUUCAAUUUAAAGACCUUAUUGCUAGAUUCAAGUUUUAAAAGCUUUAUUUCCAACUCUUAGAUACAGAUGAGCAGCAAACAGCAUAGAACCUAAACAAACUGUGAGUUACUCGCAGGCUGUUCUGGUUUUAAGCUGUUUGCACAUAGCCAUUUCCUUGUUUGUUUCUGAGUUGUAAAGGGUUAUGGCAUAAACCCUCCAACCAUCAAAGAAUCCCAUUGGAUUAGAAAUUCACAAUUUCAGAUGAUUCAACAGUUUUUUCUCUUCGAGAUUUUAUGACUGGUUUGAUUAUGUAAUUUGUUGUACAAAUUUUUUAUUUUCCAUGGAAAGUAACAGCCUUUUCACUGCAGAGUCCGAAAAAUAAUUGGUUUGAUAUAGCUAAAAAAAUAUGCUGGCAAUCGAAUUUCAAUCAAACCUAAAGCAUGUUUUCUAUGCUGUACAUGAAUCGCAUGGUACUUUAUCUUUAUUGUAUAAGAGGACCAAGACUGUGCGCUCCACAAAAUGUGCACUUUGACCAACUCAGCUUUAUGCACAUUAAGUUGUAUUUGUUUAUUAAUAUUGUAUGAUGAUUAAACCAUUUAUCAAAUUAUGGUAUGGGCAUCAGGGAAACAGACAAAGCCCUCCUUGACUUUAGCUUGCCCAUCAAAUUUCUGCCCAUACUGGAUUUUUGCUAUGAAGAGUCAUCCUUUUAUCGAAAAAUUCUGUAAAAGCAGAAAGUUUCAUCCCUGAUUAGCAUUCACAACUGCACAGGCUGAUCAGGGACAGCACUUUACGCAUGGAUUCAGUCCAUUGUUCACAGAACGCUGCUUAAAUAUUUGGCUCUGCACAUUAGUGGGGUCUGUAUCUUGAGGUUCUGGCAAGUGGCACAUGCUUGGAGCAGUGUUAUAUUGUAUUCAUUGUAUAUGAGUGGCGCGCUGUAGAUAUGGGGUUUAAUGCAUUUGCGUAGUAUCGUCCUAGAUAAGCCUGUGCAGUCCCCACAGGCUAAUCAGGGACGACACUUUCCACCUAAACUUAAUUUGUGCUAAGAAGAGACUUUCUGUAAACGGAAAAUGCAACAAAAAAAGUGGAAAAUGUCAUCCCUGAUUAGCCUGUGUGGACUGCACAGGCUAAUCUGGGACUACACUUUACGCACAUGCAUUAAACCCUCUUUUCACAGAGCACUGUCCAUAUCCUUAAUAAAUACAGGCACAAAAUUGCCUUAAUUUCCAAAAUCAUAUCAAAAUGUAUUUUAUUUAAUUAUUUUUUAAGCAUAAUUUUGGUCUAGGAAUUAAUGGUUUUUGUAAGCUCAAAUCUGCUCAUAUGAGGCAAUUAAUUGGUGAUUCACGAAUGAAGUGUUGUGUUUAGUUGUUUUAACACAAUUCACACUGAGUCAAAACAGGGAUAAUCAAACAUGACAUGUUAUAUUUUGGGAAAGAUCUUGUUAGGUUAAAACACUGGAGCAGUAUUUGGAUAUUUAUUUUUUUAUUCUGGGCCAUACUUUUGAAACAUUUAUGACAAGUGAGGGAAAUCCAUAAUACGGGCAUUCAUGAUAAUGAAGUAACAUGCAAAGAUUAUGUUACUUGUUCUUUUGUUGUUUUUUGCUGGCUAAAACACUUUCCACAUGCAUCCAGCAACCUUGUCAUAGACUACGCAUCUAAUUAUGAAUCAAGUAAUUUUGUUUUUUUCCUGAAAAAUAUUCAGAAAUCUACCUUUGUGAUUGAAUUCAUAUGUUAAUGUUAUUUCUUUAAGACCAUAAACAAGCAAAGGUGUCAUAUGAUAAUCAUUUGAUUUAUUGUUAUUUUUGUUGUAUUAUUUCAGUUGUUAACCAUUUUGUGUUUGUUAUGUUGUUUUUUCGACAUUGGUUUCCAAAGAUUUCUGCACAUGCUAUGUAUACAUCAUUGAACCUAUUUGUAUGUUUGGGUUAAAAAAAAAAUUGUGUAUUGAUGAUCAUUUUUAUGACCCUUCGAAGAAGAGGGGGUAUAUUGUUUUGCACAUGUCGGUCAGUCCGUCCACCAAAUGGUUUUCGGAUGAUAACUCAAAAACGCUAAAGAUCAUGAAACUUCAUAGAGAUCAUGACAGGCAGAUGACCCCUAUUGAUUUUCAGGUCACUAGGUCAAAGGUCAAGGUCACAGUGAUUCGAAAUAGUAAAAUGGUUUCCGGAUGAUAACUCAAGAACGCUUAGGCCCAGGAUCAUGAAACUUCAUAGGUACAUUGAUCAUGACUGGCAGAUGACCCCUAUUGAUUUUCAGGUCACUAGGUCAAAUGUCAAGGUCACAGUGACUCGAAACAGUAAAAUAGUUUCCGGAUAACUCAAGAAUGCUUAUGCCUAGGAUCAUGAAACUUCAUAGAUACAUUGAUCAUGACUGGCAGAUGACCCCUAUUGAUUUUCAGGUCACUAGGUCAAAGAUCAAGGUCACAGUGACUCGAAACAGUAAAAUGGUUUCCAGAUGAUAACUCAAGAACGCUUAGGCCUAGAAUCAUGAAACUUCAUUGGUACAUUGAUCAUGACUGGCAGUGACACCUAUUGAUUUUAAGGUCGCUAGGUCAAAGGUCAAGGUCACAGUGACUCCAAACAGUAAAAUGCUUUCCGGAUGAUAACUCAAUAAUGCUAAGGCCUAGGAUCAUGAAACUUCAUAGGUACAUUGAUCAUGACAGGCAGAUGACCCCUAUUGAUUUUCAGGUCACUAGGUCAAAUGUCAGGGUCACAAUGACUCAAAACAGUAAAAUGGUUUCCGGAUGAUAACUCAAGAACGCUUAGGCCUAGGAUCAUGAAACUUCAUAGGUACAUUGAUCAUGACUAGCAGAUGAUCCCUAACGAUUUUAAGGUCACUAGGUCAAAGGUCAAGGUCACAGUGACAAAAAACGGAUUUACACAAUGCCAAUGACAGCAUAUUUGGGGGGCCUGCGUGUUUUAUUUACUUGAAGAUGCACUUAUUUGACUUCUAUUAUUUUCUUGUAGUGCAAGAAUGGAAUGUUGUUUAUGUGAAUUAUACGAUUGCUUGAGUAUUGUUGAUAAACUUGAAAAUGGGUCUUUUAAGAUAAUAUCAUUGUAUCACAUUCUGAUGAAAUUUAUCUAACAAAAGAAUUUAAGGAGAUUGCUUAAGAAGACACAAUAAUGUUUUGAAUGCACUGUUUGACCAUAUUUAUACAAGUUUAUGCGAGAUUCUUUUUAUUAUUUUACAGUUUCCUUUUAAAAUGACUUAACGAUAUCCUAUUGUUUAUAAUUUCAACUUCUUCUUUACCACAUGAUGCUCUUGAUCACUGCCUUUUUGCAUGUAUUGGGUACCUGUACAAUGAUUAUUCUGUUCUUUGUCUAUAAACCAAUCAGAUAUCAAGACUAGUAUUCUUAAGAUUACAAUGUGUGCUGCAUACAACUGUGCUGCUGUCAUAUAUGAAGUUCAAUUUUAUAUUUUGAUGUAAUUAUUGUUACUGUUGGUGUUUCAGAAAAUAAAAGCUUGAAACAUUU
Molecule: long non-coding RNA, 14956 nt
Organism: Dreissena polymorpha
Lineage: Eukaryota; Metazoa; Mollusca; Bivalvia; Myida; Dreissenidae
Exons: 2
Source: RefSeq, a predicted model, not a curated record